AUCUCUUUCUCUCUUGCUCAUGACCUGCUUUUACAUGGUGCACUCUCUUGUUCUCUCUAUGGCGAUGUGGCCUUAGCAGUCACAUGGCCCAUGACGGUGCAACUCUACACACAGGCUCCAAUAAGAAGCCUGGAAUGAACCACAGCUAGAACCACAUGCUAAGCUAACUUUGAUAUGGAGCAGAAACUCUGGGCAGUGACCUUCAUCCUGGUCCUACUGAAGACAAGACUGGACAUUUUCCAUGUUCUGCUGAGGGUAUAGGCAGCGUUCCAGGGCAGCUGUCUUCCAUGUGGAAGCGCAGAACCCCAAGUGAAUUUUGUCACGUGGCACUUCCAGAGCAAGUCCUCCCAUGGCUGCUGCGGCAGGACUACCGCCCUACAGGGCACUGCUGACAGCUGAACUAGGAAAGG
Molecule: long non-coding RNA, 410 nt
Organism: Phyllostomus discolor (pale spear-nosed bat)
Lineage: Eukaryota; Metazoa; Chordata; Mammalia; Chiroptera; Phyllostomidae
Exons: 3
Source: RefSeq, a predicted model, not a curated record